This 464-nucleotide ribosomal RNA is filed under the name uncultured Rhodocyclaceae bacterium. RNAcentral describes it as "partial 16S ribosomal RNA". It matches the Rfam family "Bacterial small subunit ribosomal RNA", at positions 338 to 794 of the family's 1533-position model. The record is from RNAcentral. Lineage: Bacteria; Pseudomonadati; Pseudomonadota; Betaproteobacteria; Rhodocyclales; Rhodocyclaceae.
CCUACGGGAGGCAGCAGUGGGGAAUUUUGGACAAUGGGGGAAACCCUGAUCCAGCCAUUCCGCGUGAGUGAAGAAGGCCUUCGGGUUGUAAAGCUCUUUCGGCAGGAACGAAACGGCGGACUCUAACAUAGUCUGUCAAUGACGGUACCUGAAGAAGAAGCACCGGCUAACUACGUGCCAGCAGCCGCGGUAAUACGUAGGGUGCGAGCGUUAAUCGGAAUUACUGGGCGUAAAGCGUGCGCAGGCGGCUUUGUAAGACGGAUGUAAAAUCCCUGGGCUUAACCUAGGAACUGCGUUCGUGACUGCAAAGCUAGAGUGCGGCAGAGGGGGGUGGAAUUCCUGGUGUAGCAGUGAAAUGCGUAGAGAUCAGGAGGAACACCAGUGGCGAAGGCGGCUCUCUGGACCGAUACUGACACUGAGACGCGAAAGCGGGGGGAGCAAACAGGAUUAGAUCCCUUAGUAGU